Molecule: long non-coding RNA, 592 nt
Organism: Symphalangus syndactylus (siamang)
Lineage: Eukaryota; Metazoa; Chordata; Mammalia; Primates; Hylobatidae
Source: RefSeq, a predicted model, not a curated record
UGAAGAGCUGUUACCCUCAUUGUGGAGGUCCGCAGCUUUACUCCUGAGCCAGCGAGACCACAAACCCCACCAGAAGGAAGAAGCUCCAAAGGAAUGGGCCUGGAAGACCUGGCUAAAACCUUUGAAUCAUUGCCUGCCAACAUUUGGCCGUGACCCACUUUGGAAGGAAAGCCUCAGGAACUUGUUGCAAUAGGGACUGCCACGCCAUGUUGCACUAUUGGUGGAAGAGAGGUCCACACGGUGCCUACGAUGAGCGAUUUGUUCAUAUCUAUCCAGAUUGCACGUGAGUACAGCCACUCAUCCUCAAAUGCCACCCUCAGGAGUUUAUGCUGCACACAGACUGGCACAUGUUCAGAAAGACAUAGCACAGGGCUACCUGCUACAACAUUGUUGGUGAUAGCAACAUAUUGGAAGCAACCAGAAUUUUUGUUAAUAGAAGAUUGGCUACAUAAAUUAUGCUAAUCUAUACAACUGGAGUACUAUGAUGCCAUAAAAAAGAAUGAACGAGGUCUUUAUGUUUGGAAAGAUGUCUAAGAUAUAAUGGUGAGUGAAAAGUGUAAGAUGCAGAACACUGUGUUUCACAGGCUGUCAU